UAGUGGAGUGAUCUGUCUGGUUAAUUCCGAUAACGAACGAGAUCCCGGCCAUUUAAAUAGUGUUUAUUACUUUUGUAGUAAUACACUUCUUAGAGGAACUAUGUGGAAAAACUAACCCCAACGGAAGUGGGGCUAUAACA
RNAcentral lists this ribosomal RNA (140 nucleotides) under uncultured eukaryote. RNAcentral describes it as "partial 18S ribosomal RNA". It matches the Rfam family "Eukaryotic small subunit ribosomal RNA", at positions 1299 to 1458 of the family's 1831-position model. The record is from RNAcentral.